RNAcentral lists this ribosomal RNA (380 nucleotides) under Salmonella enterica subsp. enterica serovar Typhimurium. Its description in RNAcentral is "bacterial SSU rRNA". It matches the Rfam family "Bacterial small subunit ribosomal RNA", at positions 1 to 381 of the family's 1533-position model. Lineage: Bacteria; Pseudomonadati; Pseudomonadota; Gammaproteobacteria; Enterobacterales; Enterobacteriaceae. The record is from RNAcentral.
UGAAGAGUUUGAUCAUGGCUCAGAUUGAACGCUGGCGGCAGGCCUAACACAUGCAAGUCGAACGGUAACAGGAAGCAGCUUGCUGCUUCGCUGACGAGUGGCGGACGGGUGAGUAAUGUCUGGGAAACUGCCUGAUGGAGGGGGAUAACUACUGGAAACGGUGGCUAAUACCGCAUAACGUCGCAAGACCAAAGAGGGGGACCUUCGGGCCUCUUGCCAUCAGAUGUGCCCAGAUGGGAUUAGCUUGUUGGUGAGGUAACGGCUCACCAAGGCGACGAUCCCUAGCUGGUCUGAGAGGAUGACCAGCCACACUGGAACUGAGACACGGUCCAGACUCCUACGGGAGGCAGCAGUGGGGAAUAUUGCACAAUGGGCGCAAG